CAGAGUUUCAAGUACCCAACACUUGCAUUUGCACCCAUCAGUCUUGCAACAUGUCAAAAGUUCUUCUCCUCUGCUGCAUUCUUUCGCUCCUCUUUGUCAUGAAUCUUGCUGAAGAAGUCCCAAAUGCAGGAGGGUUGGAGGAUUCCAAAGUUACGCUAAAGCACCUUGGACUCAGAUCAAGCGUAGCGCAAUGUGUUAGAGAUUGCCACGCGAGGUGGCCAAACUCCACAGCGAGAUGUCCCUUUUUACAUGGCCAUAGAUGCGCCUGCCUAUGCUAUGUCCCUUGACUCCCUUCUCUCUAAUUAUUAUUAUCAAUGAUAAUUUCCGUAAGUGAGAAGGCCUAUAUAAUAUAUAUGUGACUUCUCGGUUUUUAUACAGAAACUAUUACAUGCUA
Molecule: long non-coding RNA, 394 nt
Organism: Coffea arabica (coffee)
Lineage: Eukaryota; Viridiplantae; Streptophyta; Magnoliopsida; Gentianales; Rubiaceae
Source: RefSeq, a predicted model, not a curated record